RNAcentral lists this ribosomal RNA (2412 nucleotides) under Triticum aestivum (bread wheat). Its description in RNAcentral is "partial small subunit ribosomal RNA". The record is from RNAcentral. Lineage: Eukaryota; Viridiplantae; Streptophyta; Magnoliopsida; Poales; Poaceae.
AUGGCGCGGGGCGGCCACGGCGGGGCAGACGAUGAUGUGCAGCCCUACCGGCCACUGAAGGCGACGUCGGAGGGGGUGUGGCAGGGCGACAACCCGCUGCACUUCUCGCUGCCGCUCCUCAUCCUGCAGAUCUGCCUCGUCCUCGCCGUCACCCGCGGCCUCGCCUUCGCCCUCCGCCCGCUCCGCCAGCCGCGCGUCAUCGCCGAGAUCAUCGGCGGCGUCCUCCUCGGGCCGUCGGCGCUCGGCCGGAGCAAGGUCUUCCUCCACAACGUCUUCCCCAGGGAGAGCCUCAUGGUGCUCGACACGCUGGCAGCCAUCGGCCUGCUCUUCUUCCUCUUCCUCGUCGGCCUGGAGCUGGACCCGGCGUCGCUCCGCCGCACCGGCCGCCGCGCCCUGGCCAUCGCCGUGGCCGGCAUGUCCCUCCCCUUCGCGCUCGGCGUCGGCUCCUCCCUCGUCCUCCGGGCCGCCAUCGCGCCCGAUGCCCCAUGUGUCCCGUUCAUCGUCUUCAUGGGCGUCGCGCUCUCCAUCACGGCCUUCCCCGUGCUCGCCCGGAUCCUCGCCGAGCUCAAGCUGCUCACCACCGAGAUCGGCCGCAUGGCCAUGUCGGCGGCGGCCGUGAACGACAUCACGGCGUGGAUACUGCUCGCGCUCGCCAUCUCGCUCUCGGGCAACAGCUCGCCAUUCGUGUCGAUCUACGUGCUCCUCUCCGGCGCCGCCUUCGUUGGCCUCGCCACCCUGCUCGUCAGGCCGCUGCUCCUGUACAUGGCGCGCCGGUCCCCCGAAGGUGAGCCGGUCAAGGAGUCGUUUGUCUGCGGCGCCAUGGCCAUCAUCCUUGCUGCCGGACUCGCCACCGACACCAUCGGUAUCCACGCGCUGUUCGGCGCGUUCGUCAUCGGCGUGCUGGUCCCCAAGGAAGGCGCCUUCUCCAGCGCGCUCACCGAGAAGAUCGAAGACAUCGUGUCGUCGCUGUUCCUGCCGCUCUACUUCGUCUCCAGCGGGCUCAAGACGAAUGUGGCCACCAUCACGGGCGCCAAGUCGUGGGGGCUCCUCGUGCUCGUCAUCAUGACGGCGUGCGUCGGCAAGAUCGGCGGCACAGUGCUCACAUCGCUGCUGAUGCGGGUGCCGGUGCGCGAGGCGGUGGCGCUGGGGCUGAUGAUGAACACCAAGGGGCUCGUCCUCAACGAGGAGGCAUUCGCCAUCCUCGUGCUCAUGGCGCUCGUCACCACCUUCCUGACGACGCCGGCCGUCACCGCCGUGUACAAGCCGGCCCGGCGGCAGUCGUCCUACACGCACCGCACCAUGGAGCGCGAUGACGCCGAUGCCGACAGCGAGCUGCGGGUGCUCGCGUGCUUCCACGCCAGCCGGGGCAUCCCGACGCUGAUCAACCUGGUGGAGGCGUCGCGUGGCACGCGGCGGAGCAACCUCACCAUGUACGCCAUGCACCUGGUGGAGCUCUCGGAGCGGUCGUCGGCGAUCUCCAUGGUGCAGCGCGCGCGCCGCAACGGCUUGCCGUUCUCGGGCCGGCUCGGGCGGAAGGACGUGGGCGGGGAGGAGGUGCAGGUGGCGUUCGAGGCGUUCCACAGGCUGAGCGCCGUAACGGUGAAGCCGAUGACGGCCAUCUCCGACCUGGCCACCAUCCACGAGGACAUCGUCAACUCGGCGGUGCAAAAACGCGCCGCCGUCAUCGUGCUCCCGUUCCACAAGAUACUCUGCCACGACGGGACGAUGGAGGCGUGCGUGGACCGGGCGUACCACCACGUGAACGUGCGGGUGCUCCGGAAGGCGCCGUGCACGGUGGCGAUCCUCGUGGACCGGGCGCUCGGCGGCAUGGCGCAGGUGUCGGCGCCCGACGUCUCCUACACCGUGCUCCUACUCUUCUUCGGCGGGCCCGACGAUCGAGAGGCAUUGGCCUACGCCGCCCGCAUGGCCGAGCAUCCCGGUAUCGUUCUCACCGUGGUACGCUUCAGCGCGGCUGCUGCCGCGGCGGCGGAGCUCGCCGACGUGGACGAGGAAGCCAUACAGAAGCACGUCGUCCCCGGCGAGUCGGUGAGCUACGAGGAGGUAGAGGCGCGGGAGAGGCUGGAGGUGGCGGCGGCCAUCAAGGCGUUUGGGAGGGGGAAGAAUCUGGUGGUGACCGGGCGGUCGGCGCAAGCGAUACCCCUGAUGGAGAAGACCGACUGCCCGGAGCUUGGACCCGUGGGGAGCUACCUGGCGACAACAGAGUUCUCGGCGACGGCGUCCGUGCUCGUGGUGCAGCGGUACGACCGGAGGAAUGACCCGACCUCGGCGCCGGCGGACGAGGAGGUAGAGGACACAGUGGUGCGCGCUCCGAUGCCAUCUCCGGCCUACACGCCCGCCAGGACGUCGCCUGGUGAGCAGAAUAAACCAGCCGGAGGGGGAGUCGGUACGUGA